RNAcentral lists this ribosomal RNA (513 nucleotides) under uncultured bacterium. Its description in RNAcentral is "partial 16S ribosomal RNA". It matches the Rfam family "Bacterial small subunit ribosomal RNA", at positions 28 to 523 of the family's 1533-position model. The record is from RNAcentral.
GACGAACGCUGGCGGCGUGCCUAAUACAUGCAAGUAGAACGCUGAAGAGAGGAGCUUGCUCUUCUUGGAAGAGUUGCGAACGGGUGAGUAACGCGUAGGUAACCUGCCUUGUAGCGGGGGAUAACCAUUGGAAACGAUAGCUAAUACCGCAUAACAAUGGAUGACCCAUGUCAUUUAUUUGCAAGGGGCAACUGCUCCACUACAAGAUGGACCUGCGUUGUAUUAGCUAGUAGGUGAGGUAACGGCUCACCUAGGCGACGAUACAUAGCCGACCUGAGAGGGUGAUCGGCCACACUGGGACUGAGACACGGCCCAGACCCCUACGGGAGGCAGCAGUAGGGAAUCUUCGGCAAUGGGGGCAACCCUGACCGAGCAACGCCGCGUGAGUGAAGAAGGUUUUCGGAUCGUAAAGCUCUGUUGUAAGUCAAGAACGAGUGUGAGAGUGGAAAGUUCACACUGUGACGGUAGCUUACCAGAAAGGGACGGCUAACUACGUGCCAGCCGCCGCGGUAA